Molecule: ribosomal RNA, 301 nt
Filed under: uncultured bacterium
Lineage: Bacteria
Description: partial 16S ribosomal RNA
Rfam family: Bacterial small subunit ribosomal RNA
Source: RNAcentral
CAGUCGCCGCGGUAAUACGAAGGGUGCAAGCGUUACUCGGAAUUACUGGGCGUAAAGCGUGCGUAGGUGGUGGUUUAAGUCCGUUGUGAAGGCCCUGGGCUCAACCUGGGAAUUGCAGUGGAUACUGGGUCACUAGAGUGUGGUAGAGGAUAGUGGAAUUUCCGGUGUAGCAGUGAAAUGCGUAGAGAUCGGAAGGAACAUCUGUGGCGAAGGCGACUAUCUGGGCCAACACUGACACUGAGGCACGAAAGCGUGGGGAGCAAACAGGAUUAGAUACCCCAGUAGUCCCUGUCUCUUAUAC